GUAUAUUGUAUAUUAUUUGGAUUAUAUUUUAAAAGAUGCUGUAUUGUUAUAAUGCAGUUAUGAUUUUGGUAAUAUAUACAAUUAUUGAAUUAUUAUAUUCAUAAAAAAAGUAACUAUAUCUUUAUAAAUAUUAAUAAAACACUAUAUAUUUACAAAAAAGCAAGUAUAUCUUUAUAAAUAUUCUAUUUCACAGUUUUUUGUUAUAUGGUACGUGUCUCAUUAAGUUUAACUAUCAUAAUUCAUUUAGUUGUUUUAAUAGCUUUAUUUUGUUUUAGUUUAAAUAGAAAUUUGAUUAAUUUGGUCAAGAUCAAAUCUAGUGUUAAGCUCAAUAUACUGUUUUAAACGAUUACUUUGAUGUAGAAUGUGUUAAAAAAUCUCAUUUGUAUAAAAAUAUAUAGAAGUAUAUAAAGCCAACACAUUAACAAUGAUUUGUCACCAAGCAUAUUGAGGAGCAACCCAAUUUCUUCAGAAGCAAAAAUGUAACUGAGAGUUUUUAAGUUAACUGGGAGUUUCAAAUAGUAAUUGUCAUGAUUGCACCAUUUAAUCAGCCAACUACACCAGAAAAAAUCUAUUUCAAUAAAGUUCACCUACAGAUAGAUAGUGAUGUGGGGCAAUCCUUUGAUCAUCUCAAAAACCAUUGGAUGUCACAAGAGACGUGAAGCACUUCAGUGCUCCUAAACAUAUGCUUACCCAAACUAUAUAUUGCAAAAUAUAUUUUAAGUGUAAGUUGCUGGAAAACUUUUACAAUUCUUUAGGAUUAGAAAUUCCAGAUGACAUAAAAUUUGAGGACAACAACGAAGAUGAUGUACACUAUGUUCAGGUUGAAUUUACACAAGUCAACCAAUUUGACUUGGCAUUGUACAAAGAACACUAGUUAAAACUAUGUUAUUAAAUUGAAGGGGAUAAGGGGAUAUAUAUGAUUUACGUGAUAUUUAUGAAUGAAAAAAAUGAAAGUUUUUUUUUACUU
Non-coding RNA from Hydra vulgaris (swiftwater hydra), 967 nucleotides. The record is from RefSeq and is a predicted model, not a curated record. NCBI's taxonomy places the organism in Eukaryota, Metazoa, Cnidaria, Hydrozoa, Anthoathecata, Hydridae.